Molecule: long non-coding RNA, 628 nt
Filed under: Ursus maritimus (polar bear)
Lineage: Eukaryota; Metazoa; Chordata; Mammalia; Carnivora; Ursidae
Description: lncRNA (ENSUMAG00000018541.1)
Source: RNAcentral
UAUGGAUGGAGAGAGUGUGUGUGUGUGUGUGUGUGUGUGUGUGUAGCUGUACUGUGUAGGUUCCAGCCUCUCCUCCGCUGUUGGGAAGAAGCCCUGCUUGCCUGGAUCUGUCCCAGCCUCCCGGGAGCCCCGCAGAUCCAGGCUGUAGAACAGGCUGGAUGAUGGAGGAGGCCCCCGGCUGUCAGGCACGCAGGAGUGUAGACGGUGAAGAAAGAAGGAUCCAUACCCUCCAAUGCUCUCAGCUAAUAGAGAAAGCAGACAGACUUCCUGUAGUUCUCUGGACAUGCCUCUUCUUAUGUCUGGCUUCCUGGGCCGUGGGUGUCAGAAGACGUCUGUCCUUGGAAAGCUCUAACGAACUCCAGCCUGAUUUGCUGACAAGGCCUUGAGAUGUUAUUUCUGCACGGUUGCUUGGGUUUUAAGAAGAGGUUGUUGGAAGACAGGACAUUUUAAAGCCGUAAUGGUAAGCAGAAGCAGAAAGACAGACCUAGGUUACAGAAUAUGGGGACUCUCCCCUUUCUGAGAGCUCCUUUAUUUCCUGAAUUAGAAACACGAGAAUGUUUCCUGUAAGUUCUCUAUUACAAAGUGAGGGCAGAAGCACAUGACAAUAAAAAUAGUACACCCAAAUUCA